UAGGUAGGUGGUCUUAUUUGUCUGGGGUGAAAGCCUUGAGCUUAACUCAAGAAGUGCCCCAGAAACGGUGAGACUAGAGUUCUAGAGAGGGUCGUGGAAUUCCCGGUGUAGCGGUGAAAUGCGUAGAGAUCGGGAGGAACACCAGAGGCGAAGGCGGCGACCUAGAUAGAUACUGACACUCAACUACGAAAGCGUGGGGAGCAAACA
This 207-nucleotide ribosomal RNA is filed under the name uncultured bacterium. Its description in RNAcentral is "partial 16S ribosomal RNA". It matches the Rfam family "Bacterial small subunit ribosomal RNA", at positions 568 to 774 of the family's 1533-position model. The record is from RNAcentral.